AGCAGCAGCCGCGGGAAUACAGAGGGUGCAAGCGUUAAUCGGAUUUACUGGGCGUAAAGGGCGCGUAGGUGGUUAUUUAAGUGAGAUGUGAAAUCCCCGGGCUUAACCUGGGAACUGCAUCUUAUACUGGGUAACUGGAGUGCAAUAGAGGGUAGUGGAAUUUCCGGUGUAGCGGUGAAAUGCGUAGAUAUCGGAAGGAACACCAGUGGCGAAGGCGGCUACCUGGAUUGACACUGACACUGAGGCGCGAGAGCGUGGGGAGCAAACAGGAUUAGAUACCCCCGUAGUCCCUGUCUCUUAUAC
Molecule: ribosomal RNA, 303 nt
Filed under: uncultured bacterium
Lineage: Bacteria
Description: partial 16S ribosomal RNA
Rfam family: Bacterial small subunit ribosomal RNA
Source: RNAcentral